Molecule: ribosomal RNA, 492 nt
Filed under: uncultured bacterium
Lineage: Bacteria
Description: partial 16S ribosomal RNA
Rfam family: Bacterial small subunit ribosomal RNA
Source: RNAcentral
AGUGAACGCUGGCGGUAGGCCUAACACAUGCAAGUCGAACGGCAGCACAGUAAGAGCUUGCUCUUACGGGUGGCGAGUGGCGGACGGGUGAGGAAUACAUCGGAAUCUACUUUUUCGUGGGGGAUAACGUAGGGAAACUUACGCUAAUACCGCAUACGACCUACGGGUGAAAGCAGGGGAUCUUCGGACCUUGCGCGAUUGAAUGAGCCGAUGUCGGAUUAGCUAGUUGGCGGGGUAAAGGCCCACCAAGGCGACGAUCCGUAGCUGGUCUGAGAGGAUGAUCAGCCACACUGGAACUGAGACACGGUCCAGACUCCUACGGGAGGCAGCAGUGGGGAAUAUUAGACAAUGGGCGCAAGCCUUAUCCAGCCAUACCGCGUGGGUGAAGAAGGCCUUCGGGUUGUAAAGCCCUUUUGUUGGGAAAGAAAAGCAGCAGGUUAAUACCCCGCUGUUCUGACGGUACCCAAAGAAUAAGCACCGGCUAACUUCGUG